RNAcentral lists this ribosomal RNA (1437 nucleotides) under Ophidiomyces ophidiicola. Its description in RNAcentral is "bacterial SSU rRNA". It matches the Rfam family "Bacterial small subunit ribosomal RNA". The record is from RNAcentral. Lineage: Eukaryota; Fungi; Ascomycota; Eurotiomycetes; Onygenales; Onygenaceae.
AAUAAAUUGAGUUUGAUGAUGGCUCUGAUUGAAUGCUUUUCAAGUGCUUGACACAUGCUAAUCUAACGUUAUUAUUUAAAAGAGUAAUAAAGUGGUGUAAAGGUGAGUAAUAUAUUUUGGCUGCCUUAAAGAAAGGGGGAUAAAUCCUUUAUAAAAAAAGAAAGGAAAUAAAUAAUUUUGCUUUAAGAUGUUAAUAAAUAUAACGACAAGUAGUAGAUAAGGUAAUAACUUAACUAGCUAAAAGAUCGUAAUCAAGACUGAAAGGUCUAUUGAUCACAUUGGGUCUGAAAAAACCCCAAAGCAUAAAGUACAGCAGUGAGGGAUAUUGGUCAAUGGCCUAAAGGCUGAACCAGCAACUUGGAAGAAUGUAAUAUUAAAAUAAUUAACAAAUUUUGUUUAAAAUUCUAAAUAAGAAUAAUGAUAAUGACAAGUAUUUAUUUAUAAGUCUUGACUAAAUUACGUGCCAGCAGUCGCGGUAAUACGUAGUAGGCUAGUAUUAAUUAUCAUAAGCAGGUUUAAAGGGUACCUAGACAGUAAAAACCUCUAAGGAGGGAAAAAUUUACUAGAGUUUAAUAAUAUGAGGUGAGAACUUUUGGAGUAGAGAUAAAAUUUUUUAAUACCAAGAAGACUGUUAUCAGCGUAAGCAACCUUUUAUUUAAAAACUGACGUUGAGGGACGAAGGCUUGGGUAGCAAUAAGGAUUAGAUACCCUAGUAGUCCAAGCAGAAAAUACUGAAUGCCAUAAGUAAAAAGAAAUUUAGCUUAUAAAUGAAAGUGAAAGCAUUCCACCUCAAGAGUAAAAUGGCAACAUUGGAACUGAAAUCAUUAGACCGUUUUUGAGAUCAGUAGUGAAGUAUGUUAUUUAAUUCGAUAAUCCUCGACAAACCUUACCACAAUUUGUAUAAUAAUAGUAUUAUUACAAGCGUUGCACGGCUGUCUUUAGUUAGUGUCGUGAGAUCUGGUUAACUCCUGUAAACUAACGAAAACCCUGAUUUUAUUUAAUUAUAUAAGAUAUAUUUUUUCCUGCUUCUAGAACUAAUCCCUCCAUAGGAAAAGGGGACUAAGACAAGUCAUCAUGGCCAGAAUAUUGUGGGCUAUAGACGUGCUGCAAAUACCAUAACAAAAGGAAGCUAAAUUGUGAAAUGGAGCUAAUCUUUAAAAAUGGAUAAUAUGGAUUGUAGGAUGUAAAUUGCUACAUGAAUAAGGAAUUACUAGUAAUCGUGAAUCAUAACGUCACGGUGAAUUUGAGAUCAAUUAGGUACUAACCACUCGUCAGGCGCUGAAAGAAGUAUAUGCAAUAAGUUUGGUUAUUAAUUAUUUUAAUAUAUAUAAAUCUAAAUAUAUAUAUAAUUUUAUAAUCUUCGUAUGUGUGACUUUGAUUGGUGUUAAGUCGAAAUAUGGUUCGUGUAAUGGAAAUUGCACGGGACUCAUGAACUUA